This 75-nucleotide transfer RNA is filed under the name bacterium. Its description in RNAcentral is "tRNA-Thr". It matches the Rfam family "tRNA". Rfam says of the family: Transfer RNA (tRNA) molecules are approximately 80 nucleotides in length. Their secondary structure includes four short double-helical elements and three loops (D, anti-codon, and T loops). The record is from RNAcentral.
GCCGCCUUAGCUCAGUGGUAGAGCAACGGUUUCGUAAACCGUAGGUUGGAGGUUCGAUUCCGCCCUGCGGCACCA